RNAcentral lists this ribosomal RNA (588 nucleotides) under Escherichia coli. Its description in RNAcentral is "partial 23S ribosomal RNA". It matches the Rfam family "Bacterial large subunit ribosomal RNA", at positions 419 to 1008 of the family's 2925-position model. Lineage: Bacteria; Pseudomonadati; Pseudomonadota; Gammaproteobacteria; Enterobacterales; Enterobacteriaceae. The record is from RNAcentral.
GGGACACGUGGUAUCCUGUCUGAAUAUGGGGGGACCAUCCUCCAAGGCUAAAUACUCCUGACUGACCGAUAGUGAACCAGUACCGUGAGGGAAAGGCGAAAAGAACCCCGGCGAGGGGAGUGAAAAAGAACCUGAAACCGUGUACGUACAAGCAGUGGGAGCCUCUUAAUGGGGUGACUGCGUACCUUUUGUAUAAUGGGUCAGCGACUUAUAUUCUGUAGCAAGGUUAACCGAAUAGGGGAGCCGAAGGGAAACCGAGUCUUAACUGGGCGUUAAGUUGCAGGGUAUAGACCCGAAACCCGGUGAUCUAGCCAUGGGCAGGUUGAAGGUUGGGUAACACUAACUGGAGGACCGAACCGACUAAUGUUGAAAAAUUAGCGGAUGACUUGUGGCUGGGGGUGAAAGGCCAAUCAAACCGGGAGAUAGCUGGUUCUCCCCGAAAGCUAUUUAGGUAGCGCCUCGUGAAUUCAUCUCCGGGGGUAGAGCACUGUUUCGGCAAGGGGGUCAUCCCGACUUACCAACCCGAUGCAAACUGCGAAUACCGGAGAAUGUUAUCACGGGAGACACACGGCGGGUGCUAACGUCCGU